Molecule: non-coding RNA, 658 nt
Filed under: Monoraphidium neglectum
Lineage: Eukaryota; Viridiplantae; Chlorophyta; Chlorophyceae; Sphaeropleales; Selenastraceae
Description: Bacterial large subunit ribosomal RNA
Rfam family: Bacterial large subunit ribosomal RNA
Source: Rfam by way of RNAcentral
UGCACGAGGCGGAUGCCUUGGUACCUGUGAAUAGGACGUUAGACCACGAAAAGCCAUUGCCGAGUUUUGCAAUGGAUCUCCUAAGGGAAACCCACAAGGCUAAUAAACUGCCAAUGGAAACCACCGAGAGCAGCUUGAACAAAAUCAACCGAGAAGCCGAGAGUAGCGGUGAGCGAAAUCGGCCAAAGAAGGCCUUCGUUAUCAAAGAUCAAGUGGUCUUUAAAAUAAACUAUCCCCGAAACUUUUAGACAGAGGACAAUUCAGUUUUCUCUUAGAAAACCAUGUGGUCUUCUGCCUGGUUGGAAUACAGUUGCCAAAGAAGGUGAAAGCCCUGUAGGGCGAUGAUAGCAAAAAAGAAAGAUGCACUCGAAAAACUGUUCUGUGAACAGAGACUCUUUACAAAUAAAAACAAUUGGCACAAAAAAAAAUAAUACAACGAAGCAGAAACCACUGAGUUGGUACCGCUUUGGUUUGUUUGAGUUAUGAAGCCAGCUUUGGCAACCUCAAGGCCACAAUUCUGUCAGAGUCGAAUUGAAAAUGGGGGACUCCACCCUCCAAUCUUAUCAAAGCAGGUAACCGAUAGUGUACCAGUACCGUGAGGGAAAGGUGAAAAGAACAACCUCCUGGUUGUAGUGAAACAGAACUGAAACCUCGUGCA